RNAcentral lists this transfer RNA (69 nucleotides) under Amolops wuyiensis (Sanchiang sucker frog). RNAcentral's name for it is "tRNA-Arg". It matches the Rfam family "tRNA". From Rfam's summary of the family: Transfer RNA (tRNA) molecules are approximately 80 nucleotides in length. Their secondary structure includes four short double-helical elements and three loops (D, anti-codon, and T loops). Further hydrogen bonds mediate the characteristic L-shaped molecular structure. tRNAs have two regions of fundamental functional importance: the anti-codon, which is responsible for specific mRNA codon recognition, and the 3' end, to which the tRNAs corresponding amino acid is attached (by aminoacyl-tRNA synthetases). tRNAs cope with the degeneracy of the genetic code in two manners: having more than one tRNA (with a specific anti-codon) for a particular amino acid; and 'wobble' base-pairing, i.e. permitting non-standard base-pairing at the 3rd anti-codon position. Lineage: Eukaryota; Metazoa; Chordata; Amphibia; Anura; Ranidae. The record is from RNAcentral.
GGUAUGCUCGUCCAAAAAAGACAGUUGAUUUCGACUCAACCAAUUAUGGUUUAAAUCCAUAGCAUCCCU